This is a non-coding RNA of Aedes aegypti (yellow fever mosquito), 115 nucleotides long. Lineage: Eukaryota; Metazoa; Arthropoda; Insecta; Diptera; Culicidae. The record is from Rfam.
UGCCAGUAACACCUAUUCCUACCUCCUCGUGGUACUGGCCGGGGUACGAGGAACCUUGGGAAAGAUCAGAUAACCAAGCCCGGUGGGAGCUUUGGUCGUAUGCUGACAGGGAAGA